Molecule: ribosomal RNA, 314 nt
Filed under: uncultured bacterium
Lineage: Bacteria
Description: bacterial SSU rRNA
Rfam family: Bacterial small subunit ribosomal RNA
Source: RNAcentral
AAGGAAGCCUUUAAGGUAUGCAGGUAUGGGAUGGGCCCGCGUCUGAUUAGCUAGUUGGUGAGGUAACGGCUCACCAAGGCGACGAUCAGUAGCCGGCUUGAGAGAGUGACCGGCCACAUUGGGACUGAGACACGGCCCAAACUCCUACGGGAGGCAGCAGUGGGGAAUAUUGCACAAUGGGGGAAACCCUGAUGCAGCGACGCCGCGUGAGUGAAGAAGUACUUCGGUACGUAAAGCUCUAUCAGCAGGGAAGAAGAUGACGGUACCUGACUAAGAAGCCCCGGCUAACUACGUGCCAGCAGCCGCGGUAAUUC